Molecule: long non-coding RNA, 284 nt
Organism: Colossoma macropomum (tambaqui)
Lineage: Eukaryota; Metazoa; Chordata; Actinopteri; Characiformes; Serrasalmidae
Exons: 3
Source: RefSeq, a predicted model, not a curated record
GUGGAGCCCAACACACAGGGCUGUGGGGAGCAAGUCGGCAGGGAAAGGCCAGAAAAUACUACACGGCAUCCUCAUUUCCACCUCCAUCUCAGCUCCGGGGCAUCAGCCCGACUACCACUGACAGCCUGCAGCAGCUGGAGGAGAAAGGCAGCUCGGACAGCAUCGCAGAGCCCGUUAAAAACUGAAACACACACAGAUCCUCCGAAUUGGCCAGGAACAAAGCAGUAGCGAGGAAAGUCCCCCUCCCUCCAUCCCUCCAUCGUCCUACAAUUCUCCAUCCCUCC